RNAcentral lists this transfer RNA (74 nucleotides) under Actinomycetospora succinea. RNAcentral describes it as "tRNA-Lys". It matches the Rfam family "tRNA". From Rfam's summary of the family: Transfer RNA (tRNA) molecules are approximately 80 nucleotides in length. Their secondary structure includes four short double-helical elements and three loops (D, anti-codon, and T loops). RNAcentral also lists the same sequence under 3 other names. Lineage: Bacteria; Bacillati; Actinomycetota; Actinomycetes; Pseudonocardiales; Pseudonocardiaceae. The record is from RNAcentral.
GGGCCUCUAGCUCAAUGGGUCAGAGCUACGGACUUUUAAUCCGUUGGUUGUGGGUUCGAGUCCCACGGGGCCCA